AUGUGCACUUAUAAGGAAAGAAUCAACUAUUUUGUUACUUAUCUUAAAAAGUAAUCCUAUAAACUUUUUAAAAGAAUCACAAAUCUAAGUAAAUACAGCAGUUUCUACUUUGAAGGCUGAAGUGGGUGGGGAGGAAAUGUCAGAAGCAAAAGUUUCUGCCUCUGAGUCAGUGGGGGUGAAGUCGGGACACAGUCAACCACUCUGACAUCUACAAAGGUGAAUUGGUGUCCUGUGAGAACACACAAGCUAAGCUUCUCCUGGAAUAAAUCAUCUGACAUCGGAUCCUUCCCACUGUCUGAAUUUGGUGGAAAAUCCAAUGAUGGAGGCUGAACACUCAGCCUGACAUGAUGAGUCUGCUCUUGGGAUGGACUGUGACCUGAACUAGGACUCAAAGGCCAAGAGCGGAAGCCUCUGAUGUAGACGUUCAUCAGUGGAAGACACUGAGAAGCCUCUUCGCAGUGUGAAGAUCAGAAAGGAGCUUGGUAGCCACUGUGCCCAAUGCACUCUUGCACAGAUGAAGUCAAAGUGAUCCAAAGAGUUAAGUGUGACCCAAGAAGGGAAUGAAUAGACAACCAAGGAGUUCAGCACAUCACCGAUGUCUGAAGGUAUUUCUGAGAGGCAUGGUAGAGGUUCUUUAUAACAAGUGAAUAAGUUGUGCAUUUCAGUGGACAAAACCCUUCACCUUGGGCUCCCUUAAGAACAUCUUUGCCUUCUGGAUAUGAAAGGGAAGUGUAGCCAUAUCUUUUGCUGCUUUAUUGGGUUCUUAUAUCUACCACCCUUCUCUGCCCCAAUUCCACCCUUAUCCCUUGUAAACCGCUAAGACUAGAUAGGAGAGAAAGAACUUUAGAGGAGAAAGGGACAACUUCCUGCUGAUUAGGGGCAUCAAGUUCCUGAGGGCAAAUCCAGUCUCCAUCAUCAGAAUAUCUGUAACCAGAAACCAUCCAUCCAGCAGUCCAGCAAUAGCAAAAGCAGCAAAGGCAACAGCAGGAACUAGCCAUAGUAGGUGACCAGCAGCUGGGAGAGUUGUGGUGGUAUGAGGUGGGGGAAACAGCUGCCACCAAAUGCUUGCUCAAGGCUCUGGACUCUCAAAUUUAUACUCUCUCAUGAGUCCCCAGAAUUGCAAAAUUUGCAGAUAGCAAAAAUCAUGCCCCUUCUACAGCACUAGACCAUCCUGGUUAGCAGCUAUGGUCAAUGUAAAGCAGCCCCAUAUUCCACAACUUGGAUUAAACCAAAAACAUAAUCAUAUAACCUAACUACCUGUGUUUUUAAGAAACCAUAAUUCUCACUAGAGGGAAGUACCAGGGACUGCUUAAGUUCUCCUUGCACUGUAGGUUGAUUGAGUAGUUCACAGGCAGAGGGCAGCUAUCUCUGCUGGAAGCCAGAGACUCUGUGAGGACAAUGCACAGAUGUAAUGGGAUUCUUUGUUGUAGGACCAAA
Mastomys coucha (southern multimammate mouse) is the source of this 1437-nucleotide long non-coding RNA. RefSeq lists it as uncharacterized. The transcript has 3 exons. The record is from RefSeq and is a predicted model, not a curated record. NCBI's taxonomy places the organism in Eukaryota, Metazoa, Chordata, Mammalia, Rodentia, Muridae.